CUUUGGGAUAACCCUCGGAAACGGGGGCUAAUACCGGAUAUGACUGCUGGGUGCAUGCCUGGUGGUGGAAAGCUUUUGUGGUCAGGGAUGGGCUCGCGGCCUAUCAGCUUGUUGGUGGGGUGAUGGCCUACCAAGGCGACGACGGGUAGCCGGCCUGAGAGGGCGACCGGCCACACUGGGACUGAGACACGGCCCAGACUCCUACGGGAGGCAGCAGUGGGGAAUAUUGCACAAUGGGCGGAAGCCUGGUGCAGCGACGCCGCGUGAGGGAUGACGGCCUUCGGGUUGUAAACCUCUUUCAGCUCCGACGAAGCGUAAGUGACGGUAGGAGCAGAAGAAGCGCCGGCCAACUACGUGCCAGCAGCCGCGGUAAGACGUAGGGCGCGAGCGUUGUCCGGAUUUAUUGGGCGUAAAGAGCUCGUAGGCGGCGUGUCGCGUCGACUGUGAAAUCCCGCGGCUUAACUGUGGGCUUGCAGCCGAUACGGGCAGGCUAGAGUUCGGUAGGGGAGACUGGAAUUCCUGGUGUAGCGGUGAAAUGCGCAGAUAUCAGGAGGAACACCGGUGGCGAAGGCGGGUCUCUGGGCCGAUACUGACGCUGAGGAGCGAAAGCGUGGGGAGCGAACAGGAUUAGAUACCCUGGUAGUCCACGCUGUAAACGUUGGGCGC
This 666-nucleotide ribosomal RNA is filed under the name uncultured Micromonosporaceae bacterium. RNAcentral describes it as "bacterial SSU rRNA". It matches the Rfam family "Bacterial small subunit ribosomal RNA", at positions 136 to 816 of the family's 1533-position model. The record is from RNAcentral. Lineage: Bacteria; Bacillati; Actinomycetota; Actinomycetes; Micromonosporales; Micromonosporaceae.